GGUUAAGCGACUAAGCGUACACGGUGGAUGCCUAGGCAGUCAGAGGCGAUGAAGGGCGUGCUAAUCUGCGAAAAGCGUCGGUAAGGUGAUAUGAACCGUUAUAACCGACGAUACCCGAAUGGGGAAACCCAGUGCAAUUCGUUGCACUAUUGCAUGGUGAAUACAUAGCCAUGCAAGGCGAACCGGGGGAACUGAAACAUCUAAGUACCCCGAGGAAAAGAAAUCAACCGAGAUUCCCCCAGUAGCGGCGAGCGAACGGGGAGGAGCCCAGAACCUGAAUCAGCAUAUGUGUUAGUGGAAGCGUCUGGAAAGUCGCACGAUACAGGGUGAUAGUCCCGUACACAAAAAUGCAUAUGUUGUGAGUUCGAUGAGUAGGGCGGGACACGUGACAUCCUGUCUGAAUAUGGGGGGACCAUCCUCCAAGGCUAAAUACUCCUGACUGACCGAUAGUGAACCAGUACCGUGAGGGAAAGGCGAAAAGAACCCCGGCGAGGGGAGUGAAAUAGAACCUGAAACCGUGUACGUACAAGCAGUGGGAGCACCUUCGUGGUGUGACUGCGUACCUUUUGUAUAAUGGGUCAGCGACUUAUAUUUUGUAGCAAGGUUAACCGAAUAGGGGAGCCGUAGGGAAACCGAGUCUUAACUGGGCGAAUAGUUGCAAGGUAUAGACCCGAAACCCGGUGAUCUAGCCAUGGGCAGGUUGAAGGUUGGGUAACACUAACUGGAGGACCGAACCGACUAAUGUUGAAAAAUUAGCGGAUGACUUGUGGCUGGGGGUGAAAGGCCAAUCAAACCGGGAGAUAGCUGGUUCUCCCCGAAAGCUAUUUAGGUAGCGCCUCGUGAACUCAUCUUCGGGGGUAGAGCACUGUUUCGGCUAGGGGGUCAUCCCGACUUACCAAACCGAUGCAAACUCCGAAUACCGAAGAAUGUUAUCACGGGAGACACACGGCGGGUGCUAACGUCCGUCGUGAAGAGGGAAACAACCCAGACCGCCAGCUAAGGUCCCAAAGUCAUGGUUAAGUGGGAAACGAUGUGGGAAGGCAUAGACAGCCAGGAUGUUGGCUUAGAAGCAGCCAUCAUUUAAAGAAAGCGUAAUAGCUCACUGGUCGAGUCGGCCUGCGCGGAAGAUGUAACGGGGCUAAACCAUGCACCGAAGCUGCGGCAGCGACGCUUAGGCGUUGUUGGGUAGGGGAGCGUUCUGUAAGCCGUUGAAGGUGACCUGUGAGGGUUGCUGGAGGUAUCAGAAGUGCGAAUGCUGACAUAAGUAACGAUAAUGCGGGUGAAAAACCCGCACGCCGGAAGACCAAGGGUUCCUGUCCAACGUUAAUCGGGGCAGGGUGAGUCGACCCCUAAGGCGAGGCUGAAAAGCGUAGUCGAUGGGAAACAGGUUAAUAUUCCUGUACUUGGUGUUACUGCGAAGGGGGGACGGAGAAGGCUAGGCUAGCCGGGCGACGGUUGUCCC
RNAcentral lists this ribosomal RNA (1462 nucleotides) under Yersinia enterocolitica. RNAcentral describes it as "partial 23S ribosomal RNA". It matches the Rfam family "Bacterial large subunit ribosomal RNA", at positions 1 to 1508 of the family's 2925-position model. The record is from RNAcentral. Lineage: Bacteria; Pseudomonadati; Pseudomonadota; Gammaproteobacteria; Enterobacterales; Yersiniaceae.